UACGGGGGGAGCAAGCGUUGUUCGGAUUUACUGGGCGUAAAGGGCGCGUAGGCGGUCGUGACAAGUCACUUGUGAAAUCUCCGGGCUUAACUCGGAACGGUCAAGUGAUACUGUCGGACUAGAGUACAGAAGGGGCAACUGGAAUUCUCGGUGUAGCGGUGAAAUGCGUAGAUAUCGAGAGGAACACCUGCGGCGAAGGCGGGUUGCUGGGCUGAUACUGACGCUGAGGCGCGAAAGACUAGGGGAGCAAACGGG
RNAcentral lists this ribosomal RNA (255 nucleotides) under uncultured bacterium. RNAcentral describes it as "partial 16S ribosomal RNA". It matches the Rfam family "Bacterial small subunit ribosomal RNA", at positions 524 to 776 of the family's 1533-position model. The record is from RNAcentral.